This 500-nucleotide ribosomal RNA is filed under the name uncultured bacterium. RNAcentral's name for it is "partial 16S ribosomal RNA". It matches the Rfam family "Bacterial small subunit ribosomal RNA", at positions 28 to 507 of the family's 1533-position model. The record is from RNAcentral.
GACGAACGCUGGCGGCAUGCCUAAUACAUGCAAGUCGUGCGGACCUUGUUGAAAGCUUGCUUUUAAAAGGUUAGCGGCGGACGGGUGAGUAACACGUGGGCAACCUGCCUGUAAGACUGGGAUAACGCCGGGAAACCGGGGCUAAUACCAGAUCGUUUUUUCCUCCGCAUGGAGGAAAAAGGAAAGGCGGCUUCGGCUGCCACUUACAGAUGGGCCCGCGGCGCAUUAGCUAGUUGGCGGGGUAAUGGCCCACCAAGGCAACGAUGCGUAGCCGACCUGAGAGGGUGAUCGGCCACAUUGGGACUGAGACACGGCCCAAACUCCUACGGGAGGCAGCAGUAGGGAAUCUUCCGCAAUGGACGAAAGUCUGACGGAGCAACGCCGCGUGAGUGAAGAAGGCCUUCGGGUCGUAAAACUCUGUUGCCGGGGAAGAACAAGUGCCGUUCGAACAGGGCGGCGCCUUGACGGUACCCGGCCAGAAAGCCACGGCUAACUACGUG